AAGUCGUAACAAGGUUUCCGUAGGUGAACCUGCGGAAGGAUCAUUAAUACGUACUUUCACGUAUCACUCAAUCGUGGACUUGUCCCGCUUUUUGUGGAGAGUUGGAGGCGAAAUUUGUGGUCAUAUUUUAACCAGCGUGGGGGAGAAUAGUAGCUUCACGGCUCUUUUCUCUUUGACCUGUUCGCCGAGGGUUAAUAAAUCGAAACGACUUUUUGAUUGGAAAGACAAGUGCAGCUUGUUCUGUAUGCAUCUUCUGGUCAAUUUCGGUUGUUCUCGAUUCGACUCUUUACAAAGCGUUUUUUCUAAUCCAUGCUGGGAUCAAUUAUUUUACCCCAAGUACUAUUAUCAAGAACUAAUUGUGUUUUUUUUGCUUCAUUGCGAAAAACGCCAAAUACCGAAACUUAAGAACAACUCUUAACAACGGAUAUCUUGGUUCUC
RNAcentral lists this unclassified non-coding RNA (438 nucleotides) under fungal sp. Its description in RNAcentral is "partial internal transcribed spacer region". The stretch from base 1 to 46 matches the Rfam family "Eukaryotic small subunit ribosomal RNA", at positions 1786 to 1831 of the family's 1831-position model. Lineage: Eukaryota; Fungi. The record is from RNAcentral.